CGGGUGAGUAACACGUAUCCAACCUGCCGUCUACUCUUGGCCAGCCUUCUGAAAGGAAGAUUAAUCCAGGAUGGCAUCAUGAGUUCACAUGUCCGCAUGAUUAAAGGUAUUUUCCGGUAGACGAUGGGGAUGCGUUCCAUUAGAUAGUAGGCGGGGUAACGGCCCACCUAGUCUUCGAUGGAUAGGGGUUCUGAGAGGAAGGUCCCCCACACUGGAACUGAGACACGGUCCAG
This 233-nucleotide ribosomal RNA is filed under the name uncultured bacterium. RNAcentral describes it as "partial 16S ribosomal RNA". It matches the Rfam family "Bacterial small subunit ribosomal RNA", at positions 103 to 334 of the family's 1533-position model. The record is from RNAcentral.